RNAcentral lists this ribosomal RNA (290 nucleotides) under uncultured bacterium. RNAcentral's name for it is "partial 16S ribosomal RNA". It matches the Rfam family "Bacterial small subunit ribosomal RNA", at positions 28 to 301 of the family's 1533-position model. The record is from RNAcentral.
GAUGAACGCUGGCGGCGUGCUUAACACAUGCAAGUCGAGCGAAGCGAUUUUAAUGAAGUUUUCGGAUGGAAUUAAGAUUGACUGAGCGGCGGACGGGUGAGUAACGCGUGGGUAACCUGCCUCAUACAGGGGGAUAACAGUUAGAAAUGACUGCUAAUACCGCAUAAGCGCACAGGACCGCAUGGUCCGGUGUGAAAAACUCCGGUGGUAUGAGAUGGACCCGCGUCUGAUUAGCUUGUUGGCGGGGUAACGCCCACCAAGGCGACGAUCAGUAGCCGACCUGAGAGGGU